AGGGGACCCCGAGUGCGAGGGCAUAUAGUCCUCGCUUUUCUGGACUGUAGGGAGGUCCAAGAAUAAGGGCUGGGCAAGACCGGUGCCAGCCGUCGCGGUAAUACCGGCAGCCCGAGUGAUGGCCGAUUUUAUUGGGCCUAAAGCGUCCGUAGCCGGCCAGACGGGUCCGUCGGGAAAUCUGCACGCCCAACGAGCAGGCGUCCGGCGGAAACCAGCUGGCUUGGGGCCGGAAGACCCAGGGGGUACGUCCGGGGUAGGAGUGAAAUCCUGUAAUCCCGGACGGACCGCCGGUGGCGAAAGCGCCCUGGGAGGACGGUCCCGACGGUGAGGGACGAAAGCCAAGGUCACGAACCGGAUUAGAUACCCGGGUAGUCUUGGCCGUAAACGAUGUCCGCUCGGUGUGGCGCAGGCUACGAGCCUGCGCUGUGCCACAGCGAAGGCGCUAGGCGGACCGCCUGGGAAGUACGUCUGCAAGGAUGAAACUUAAAGGAAUUGGCGGG
RNAcentral lists this ribosomal RNA (500 nucleotides) under uncultured Halorhabdus sp. RNAcentral describes it as "bacterial SSU rRNA". It matches the Rfam family "Archaeal small subunit ribosomal RNA", at positions 373 to 872 of the family's 1478-position model. The record is from RNAcentral. Lineage: Archaea; Methanobacteriati; Methanobacteriota; Halobacteria; Halobacteriales; Haloarculaceae.